UACGUAGGGGGCUAGCGUUGUUCGGAAUUACUGGGCGUAAAGCGCACGUAGGCGGCUUUGCAAGUUAGAGGUGAAAGCCCGGGGCUCAACUCCGGAAUUGCCUUUAAAACUGCAUCGCUAGAAUUGUGGAGAGGUAAGUGGAAUUCCGAGUGUAGAGGUGAAAUUCGUAGAUAUUCGGAAGAACACCAGUGGCGAAGGCGACUUACUGGACACAUAUUGACGCUGAGGUGCGAAAGCGUGGGGAGCAAACAGG
This 253-nucleotide ribosomal RNA is filed under the name uncultured bacterium. RNAcentral's name for it is "partial 16S ribosomal RNA". It matches the Rfam family "Bacterial small subunit ribosomal RNA", at positions 524 to 776 of the family's 1533-position model. The record is from RNAcentral.